ACAGCAGCCUUCCCCUCUCCUUCUGUCCCGUCGGCCGUCGCCGCCGCCGCCUCCUCGUGUAGCUCCACGCCGGCCAGCCCCCCGCCUGACGUCGUCCUUCCCGCGGAUCUCCGUCGCCGCCUUCCCCGUACAGCCCACGCGCCCCCUCCACCCCCGGCCCCGCCGUCCCGGUUGAGCACUGAAUCCGCCGGCCGCCAGGUGUAGAUUGGUUUCUCGAUGGAGGCACCACCAUCGAGGCAGGAAGGAACCUAUUGGCAUGGCAAUGGUGAAGAUGCCGCUGCGGACGAUGACUCCUCCUGGUGUGAUGCUUCAGAUUCUCCAGGACAUGGUUCCAGCUUACACACAGAAUGGGCCCACUUGCAGGACCGGCUUCAUAAUAUGGGCUAUAGGGAAGGCCGAAAUAGCUACGCGGACGACAGAACACCGAACGAUUCCCGGACGAAGCAGCUCCAACCCAUAGAUAUUAAAGAACGGGCCUAAUCCAGUGGUGAGGAUGAGUUGUCGUGCACAUGUCGGCUGAAAAAGAUCGUGUGCGUAGCAUUGCUCAGGGAAGGCAUAACCGAAGGGCGGAAGGACGCUGCCCAAGAGGGCUUCAAUCUUGGGCAUAGGCAAUCUGCGCCUGAAGGAUACAAGUGGGGUCUCGUUCGGGGUAUUACUAGUGCAUUGGCUAGUCUUCCAGGCAGCCUAAAAGAAAAGUUGCUGCUAGACGCCCAGUGUAGAGGAAAAGUUGAAGAUUUGCGCAACUCUGUGCAAGAAAUUUCACCAGAGGCUGCACUGCGGAUGUUUCAUGAGAGUAUUAUUCAGGACAAUGCUCCGCUAGUGGAAAGCAGGCUUCAAACUAUUCCAAAUGAUCUGCCCAGAUGUUCAAGUUCCUGAAGAGUUGAAACGAGCUCCGUAAGCAAGGCAGAAAAUGCUAGUUUUCAUCAGCUGGCUUCAGCAAAAUGCACUCAAAUCUACUCAACCGAAGGGCCUGAUCCACUCCUCAGAGUUGCUAUGACCUGCUUCUGUUAAUGGGAUGUUAACUGCAUGCUGAUAUGUCCUUUGAUGGUCCAUGGUAGUUAUUGGACUGCACACCAUACAAAAAAUGCUAGUUUGCAUUGGCUGGCUUCAGCAGAUGUACUCAAAUCUGCUCAACCGAAGGGCCUGAUCCACUCCUCAGAGUUGCUAUGACCUACUGCUGUUAAUGGGAUGUUAACUGCAUGCUGAUAUGCCCUUUGAUGGUCCAUGGUAGUUAUUGGACUGCACACCAUGUCAGUAAAUUGUCUGCUUCUAUUUCUGUUACAGGGGUUGGUGUGAUUGGAACAUCAAGCUGUUGGUUUUGAGUGUUAAUGCCAUCUAUUCAUGGUGAUGCAUGCCUCAGGUUGGUGAGAGCAUCAAACCGUGUAUCCGUU
Molecule: RNA transcript, 1391 nt
Organism: Triticum dicoccoides
Lineage: Eukaryota; Viridiplantae; Streptophyta; Magnoliopsida; Poales; Poaceae
Exons: 7
Source: RefSeq, a predicted model, not a curated record